GUAAGUUUCACUACUUGCAUAUUAGUUUCUUCUAAAAUGAUAUCCUUCGGGAAGGGAGGUUGCUUAAUAUGAAGGAUACUGUAACUACAUGUGAUGACCAUUCAUCUUGUCAUCACAAUUUAUGUGCCUUGUGUUCCUGUGAAAUUCUCCAGACUGUAUGUGGCUUGCAUGGAUCCAUUUAAUUGUUGUACGUUACCUCUUU
This 202-nucleotide unclassified non-coding RNA is filed under the name Hevea brasiliensis (rubber tree). The record is from RNAcentral. Lineage: Eukaryota; Viridiplantae; Streptophyta; Magnoliopsida; Malpighiales; Euphorbiaceae.